AACGCCGCGUGGAGGAUGAAGGCCUUCGGGUUGUAAACUCCUGUCAGGUGGAGCGAAAAGCGCCGGUAAAUAGCCGGCGUCUAUGACGGUACCACCAGAGGAAGCCCCGGCUAACUCCGUGCCAGCCCCCUUCGGUGACUGAGCGGGCUGGCAAGGCGCAUA
This 162-nucleotide ribosomal RNA is filed under the name uncultured bacterium. Its description in RNAcentral is "partial 16S ribosomal RNA". It matches the Rfam family "Bacterial small subunit ribosomal RNA", at positions 393 to 539 of the family's 1533-position model. The record is from RNAcentral.